GAGCUUUUGGCCCGGGUUAUACCUGAUGCUCACGUAUAAGACGAGCAAAAAGCUUGU
This 57-nucleotide non-coding RNA is filed under the name Pteropus alecto (black flying fox). RNAcentral's name for it is "microRNA pal-mir-208a precursor (pal-mir-208a-1, pal-mir-208a-2)". Its record names the gene pal-mir-208a-1. It matches the Rfam family "mir-208 microRNA precursor family", at positions 11 to 66 of the family's 77-position model. RNAcentral also lists the same sequence under 8 other names. Lineage: Eukaryota; Metazoa; Chordata; Mammalia; Chiroptera; Pteropodidae. The record is from miRBase by way of RNAcentral.